AUGGUGGAUGCUGGCGCGGACCUCGCCAAGACGACGCCAAUCGCCAACAUCAUCAACCCGGUGCCUCAGAGGGUCGUGACAGAAGACGCAAGGAGGACGCCCGCCAUCUACUUCGUCAUGCUGGAGCUAGAGGAUGGAGGCGUAGCGCCCAUUGGAGGCGCCGCCGACGUCAAGUUGGAGCUCGGAGGCAUGGACCUCGCGAGGAUGCCGCCGCGUGCCGCAGAGGAUGGCAACACGGAGAUCACUAGGACGACGCCUGUCGACUUCUUCAUCAAGUCAGUGCCAUGGAGGACGGAGGCACAGAGCUUGGAGGAUGCUGCCGCGUUCCGCAGGCAUGGCGACAUGGAACUCGUCAAGACGACGCUCAUCUAA
Molecule: ribosomal RNA, 372 nt
Filed under: Triticum aestivum (bread wheat)
Lineage: Eukaryota; Viridiplantae; Streptophyta; Magnoliopsida; Poales; Poaceae
Description: partial small subunit ribosomal RNA
Source: RNAcentral